Ribosomal RNA from Panthera pardus (leopard), 116 nucleotides. NCBI's taxonomy places the organism in Eukaryota, Metazoa, Chordata, Mammalia, Carnivora, Felidae. The record is from Ensembl.
CUCUAUGGCCAUACCACCCUGAAUGCGCCCUAUCUCGUGUGAUCUCGGAAGCUAAGCAGGGUCGGGCCUGGUUAGUACUUGGAUGGGAGAAAGGAGUCCAAGAGGAUUCGAAGGGC